Molecule: transfer RNA, 77 nt
Filed under: Acidobacteria bacterium RIFCSPLOWO2_12_FULL_67_14b
Lineage: Bacteria; Pseudomonadati; Acidobacteriota
Also listed under: 3 other names
Description: tRNA-Arg
Rfam family: tRNA
About the family: Transfer RNA (tRNA) molecules are approximately 80 nucleotides in length.
Source: RNAcentral
GCGCCCAUAGCUCAGCUGGAUAGAGCGUCUGGCUACGAACCAGGAGGUCGCACGUUCGAGUCGUGCUGGGCGCACCA